This 773-nucleotide ribosomal RNA is filed under the name uncultured Actinomyces sp. Its description in RNAcentral is "bacterial SSU rRNA". It matches the Rfam family "Bacterial small subunit ribosomal RNA", at positions 62 to 846 of the family's 1533-position model. Lineage: Bacteria; Bacillati; Actinomycetota; Actinomycetes; Actinomycetales; Actinomycetaceae. The record is from RNAcentral.
UCGAACGAUGAUGGGAGCUUGCUCCUGGAUUAGUGGCGAACGGGUGAGUAACACGUGAGUAACCUGCCCUUAACUCUGGGAUAAGCCUGGGAAACUGGGUCUAAUACCGGAUAUGACUCCUCAUCGCAUGGUGGGGGGUGGAAAGCUUUAUUGUGGUUUUGGAUGGACCCGCGGCCUAUCAGCUUGUUGGUGAGGUAAUGGCUUACCAAGGCGACGACGGGUAGCCGGCCUGAGAGGGUGACCGGCCACACUGGGACUGAGACACGGCCCAGACUCCUACGGGAGGCAGCAGUGGGGAAUAUUGCACAAUGGGCGCAAGCCUGAUGCAGCGACGCCGCGUGAGGGAUGACGGCCUUCGGGUUGUAAACCUCUUUCAGUAGGGAAGAAGCGAAAGUGACGGUACCUGCAGAAGAAGCGCCGGCUAACUACGUGCCAGCAGCCGCGGUAAUACGUAGGGCGCAAGCGUUAUCCGGAAUUAUUGGGCGUAAAGAGCUCGUAGGCGGUUUGUCGCGUCUGCCGUGAAAGUCCGGGGCUCAACUCCGGAUCUGCGGUGGGUACGGGCAGACUAGAGUGAUGUAGGGGAGACUGGAAUUCCUGGUGUAGCGGUGAAAUGCGCAGAUAUCAGGAGGAACACCGAUGGCGAAGGCAGGUCUCUGGGCAUUAACUGACGCUGAGGAGCGAAAGCAUGGGGAGCGAACAGGAUUAGAUAACCUGGUAGUCCAUGCCGUAAACGUUGGGCACUAGGUGUGGGGGACAUUCCACGUUUUCCGCGC